Long non-coding RNA from Papaver somniferum (opium poppy), 1738 nucleotides. RefSeq lists it as uncharacterized. Lineage: Eukaryota; Viridiplantae; Streptophyta; Magnoliopsida; Ranunculales; Papaveraceae. The record is from RefSeq and is a predicted model, not a curated record. The transcript has 5 exons.
UAGAUUUUCCAAUGGAAGAAAAAGGAAAUCCAAUACAAACCCUUUAAUCGAUCUCUCUAUGAAUUCCCGAGCUUACUGUUCCAUUGAUAUGUUAAUUAAUUUUCCAUUGAAGCAAAGCUAUUCGAAUAAUAGGGUUGGUGUCUUUCUGUAUUCGAAUAAUAGGAUUGGAAGAAAUUCCUACUAGACAAUACGUUACUGAUUGGGGCUCUGUUUUUUGCUGUUUCUCACCAACAAAAAUCAAGUAGAAGGCGAAGGCGACAACGCUAGGAAUAUGGGGUCUUCUUUAAUCUUCACAGGAUAUUGGAUCCAUAUUUUAAGACUGUAGUUGGUUCUUUUGCUGAUAAUAAGAAGAUCAAUCUCACAAUCUGUAAUCUUUUGAUUUGUUUACAAGCUGGUUCAAUUUGGUCAAAUAAAUAAUUGUCCAAGUUGAAUCCCCGAGAAAAUCUAGCUUAUUUCUAUAAUUACUUUCAAGCUGGUUCUUUUGCUAUAAUUGCUUUCAUGCUUCAUGGGAAUUUAUCAGCUGUUUAACUUGGUCAAAUCUCCAACUUAGGUUCCUGCACAAUUAGAGAUAGGUUAACUGUGGAGUUGAUCAGAUGCUUUAGUUUGUUGUAUGCCAUGCAACAAUUAGAGAUAGGUUCUAACAAUAAAGUUUGUUUGUAUUUACUUUUAGCUUCGUGUCGUUGUUUUCCAAUAUACACUGUCACCAAUGGCAUUGUUGGUGACAAUGUAUAUUGGAUAAUUGGUUAAAUUGCUUUCAACAGGUUUUUUUCUGGACAUGGGGUUUUGCUCAGCCAACACUUAUGCAGUCUCAGGGAUGGCCCAUGGAAAUCUGGUAGCGGUUUCAUUGAUAUUGCUGAGAUGAGAAAAAUGGUGUACAAGCGUAGAAAAGUAAGGCUUCUCCCCUAAAUGGCGCAACUCUGAAGUCACACUAUCCGUGACGAGAUUGGAGGCAUGUCAUAAUCAGGCAUGCAAAUCCACUUCGACAGUAUUUAUUGUCUAUUAAUCAAGAAGGUUUAGCAAAGAACAGCUUGAUUCAAAGAGAGAUGCCAAACAACAUUUGUUACUAUACAGUCGAAUACCAUUGGAAUCCAGUUCCGAUGGAAGCUCGAGUGAACAUGAGUUAUAAUAGGAACCAUACGUCGAGGAUUCUGUAAGUAAGAUCAAUUAAGUUUUGUAUACCAUCGGCAUUGACUUAUUUGUUAUUGUUCCAUAUUAUAUAAUCACUAAUUAACUUCUUUAUUGAUUAUUCAUCUCAAAUUUUGAUUCACAAUAUUAUCAGAUGUUAAGUUGUGUUGACUUUAAUCAAAGGAUGACUUAAUGUAAAAAAGAACAAAAAAACAAAAGCCUCCAAGUGCUACAUUUUUCCGUGCAUACAGCAGAAGGCACCAUUAUGAUUGCCAAAUGUUGACACACAAUACUAGAGAGGACUACCUCGAAGUGGAUAACAAGGGUGAUUAUGGACAGGUUCUUCCUACCACCUAUUAUGAAACCAAGUGGAGAUUGUGAUGUCCCACGAGAAGUUGCUACUGGCAUUAUCGAUUACCAGGUUCAUCAAAUACACUGGGACAGGGUGAGGCGAAGCUGAGCCACACCAAAUCAAAUUGGGACGGGACGAGACGAAGCUGAGCCUUACCAAAUUAAAUUGGGACGGGGUGAGGCGAGGCGAAGCCGAAACCGAACUUUACCAAAUCGGGACGGGACGAGGCGAAACCGAGCUUUACCGAAUCAAAUCGGGACG